Molecule: long non-coding RNA, 2656 nt
Filed under: Neogobius melanostomus (round goby)
Lineage: Eukaryota; Metazoa; Chordata; Actinopteri; Gobiiformes; Gobiidae
Description: lncRNA (ENSNMLG00000004417.1)
Source: RNAcentral
GUCGCCACUAUUCACAAAGGGCUGGACCGUUGCGCCGCUCUUCUCGGUGACAUCCUCCACUGCGAAAAAGGGGCCGUGCCAAAGCAGGACAGCGCGAUGAAGGAUGGAGGGGCCAAAUGUCGCCCCCACACUCCGACGGGGAAGAAGGCCAUCCGGAGGUCCAUCCCCAAAUCGGGUCAUUAUGUACAGAUGUAUUCAGUAUUCUAGGACAUAAUGCAGGGUAUAUGGCACUUCUUCUUUUGGUAUUGUUUUGGUAAUGCAUAGACACCAGCGGAUUUGUUGGAGCAAUGUAUUCUGCAUAGGUGAUACUACAAUAGGGUUCUUUUGUCGUUUGGUUGAGAUUUUGCGCUUAAAUUCUGGAUUUGUAUUUGUUGGCCACUUCAUUUCCCUGACCCGUGCCCCGUGACUUAACUUGAACAUCAAACUGACAACUUCGUACUUUACUUGGACUUGGACUCUCAAGUUUUUUGAGUCACUGAACCCUGAAUAUCAGUUUUUAUAAACAAGCGUUAACAUGACUGUUUUAAAUGCUAUAAGAAUUCAUACGAGGGAGCACUAAACGAACACAGCUUGAAAAAUGUGACUCAGACCUUAUUUUAAUAAUUCGCAUUGGAAGUCCUAACUAUGAUUUUUAUUUGUAUAUAUUUCCGUUAUUUUAGUUUCGAACCCUCGCAGCGCUCAGAAGGUCCGUAGAAAAUCCUAUACCAAAUCCCCUGCUGCCGCCCCCAGGGCAGCCCCGCCCCUGCCCACUACGGCGUGAGCCUCCACCCUCCCAGCAGGAAACCGCACCUGCAGAAGACCCCGUCCAAGCCGGCUAACCCACACAUCCAGCCUCUCUGCCACACUGUGCCCCCCGCCGGACCGCCCGCUGCUCCGGACUGCCUGCCGGAGAGGGACCAGGGACCAGGGGGAGCACCAGAGUCGCAGGGCAACGUGAGAAGAGUGCGGGCUCUUCUGGGGGAGUUGAAGACGCUGAUGGCCGGGCAUGGAGACUCUGCUCAGACGUACCUGUGUUUGCUGGAGCAGACCGUGUCCUCUACACUCACACACAAAACGCCCUCCGAGCAGCGGAGUACAGAAGAGCCGAAGACCCUACAGAUUCACAACGUCCAACUACAGAGGCAGGUAAUGGCGUUACAGCAGCAAAUUCAGGACCAGGAGGCAACACAGCAGCUCCUGAACUCGCAGGUGUUGAGUUUGCAGGAGCAGCUCAGUGCGGCUGAGGAAGAGCUGACUCGGGUCCAGAGCGCUCUCCAGGAGACGAAUAUCAGCCUUAAAACGGAGCUGGAGAGCACCAGGGCCCGGCUCAGGGUCACUCUCCAGGACAAGUUCAAACUGGAGGGGACGCUUCAGCAGAAACGGCAGGAGAUCGAGGGACUCCACAGAAUAAUUGACACUUGCAGUUCAUCCACUCCCACGCCUGACAAUCUGCCAGCGAGUCCACCAGGGGCCGCCAGAGAGCACAUCACCCAGUACCUGAUGUCGCUGGAGCGGAGCAGACCCCUGACCCGACCCCAGUCCCCUUCGCUCCAGGCCCCGGGACCUCACCGGGGCCCACACCAGAGGCCCGAGCGGGACGUGGAGUCUGUGAUCAGCGACUGGAGCGUCCAGUCAGAGUCCAGCUUCAACACGCGCGAUGAGGCUGCGUUUAGGGACGGGCUGGCGGCUCUGGAUGCCAGCAUCGCCAGUCUCCAGCAGACCCUCAAAAUGGACUUGGUCAAAACAUAACACGAGAUUUUUAAUUACAGAUUUUUAAUGCGAUUGACUUCAGUGCUGAGGUGUACAUACUCAAAUUAUGGUUUGUGUGUGCAAAUGUAUGAUUAAUAAACGUAUAUAAUAUAUUUUCUGAUAUUUACAGUGUUUGUAGAGUUCUUGGUGAUAGAAGAUCAUAUGUGUACUGAAAUAGAGUAGGUCUAAACUAUGUAGUUAGUGAAGAAAGUAGGACCUCAUGCACUUGAUAUACACCAGGGUUUAGUCAUUAAAUUAAUGCCAAAAUGAAGACCUAAGUCUAAGAGGCAUGUCCUAUUGGGAGGAGGCCUCGUGGAAGGCCCAGGACAUGCUGGUGGGACUGUCUCCGAGCUGGCCUGGUGUCGCCUCGGGGUCCUCCCAGGACAGCUGGAGGAGGUGUGCGUGGAUCAGGAAGUCUGGGCAUCUCUGCUGAGACUGCUGACCCAGCAACCCGGCCCCAGAUAAAGCGGAAGAAAAUGGAUGGAUGGAAGACCCAAGUCAUUAAAAAGAAUUAAAUCUAUUAAAACUGUCUACAUUUCUUAGAAAGUAUAUUUUUUUCACUAGAGACUGAAUCUACUCAAUGACAUUUUUUUUACAUUCAUCAAAAAUAAACACUGGUCUAGUUAUAGAACUGCAGUUUGGAAAUGUCAGUUUCCCGUUGUGUCCAAUUUUGGGUUGAAAAAUUCCCCAGUUAGAGUGAAUGUUUACAAAUCUUACAAAAUGAAAUAUGCCGAGUUUUUUUUUGCAUUUGUGGUAUGAUGGUAUUUAGGCAUUUAAAGUGGCACUAAAAAGCAUUAAAUUUGACUUGUUUCCUGACCUUUUGUUUGGUAGUCAGGAAGUGUAUCCCCAGAGAAGAGAUAUUACAGUCUGUGCACUUUGCAAUUUGAAAAGUUGUAAUUUCUUUUUUAAUUCUAUUCUGAAGUACUGA